CGUGAGGAACCUGCCUUGGAGUGGGGAAUAACAGCUGGAAACAGCUGCUAAUACCGCAUAAUAUAUCUGGGCCGCAUGGCUCUGGAUAUCAAAGAUUUAUCGCUCCGAGAUGGACUCGCGUCUGAUUAGCUGGUUGGCGGGGUAACGGCCCACCAAGGCGACGAUCAGUAGCCGGACUGAGAGGUUGGCCGGCCACAUUGGGACUGAGACACGGCCCAGACUCCUACGGGAGGCAGCAG
This 239-nucleotide ribosomal RNA is filed under the name uncultured bacterium. RNAcentral describes it as "partial 16S ribosomal RNA". It matches the Rfam family "Bacterial small subunit ribosomal RNA", at positions 116 to 354 of the family's 1533-position model. The record is from RNAcentral.